Molecule: ribosomal RNA, 264 nt
Filed under: uncultured bacterium
Lineage: Bacteria
Description: partial 16S ribosomal RNA
Rfam family: Bacterial small subunit ribosomal RNA
Source: RNAcentral
GUCCACGCCCUAAACGAUGUCGACUAGCCGCUGGAGGAAUCAAAUCCUUCAGUGGCGCAGCUAACGCGAUAAGUCGACCGCCUGGGGAGUACGGCCGCAAGGUUAAAACUCAAAGGAAUUGACGGGGGCCCGCACAAGCGGUGGAGCAUGUGGUUUAAUUCGAUGCAACGCGAAGAACCUUACCUGGCCUUGACAUCCCGGGAACUUUCCAGAGAUGGAUUGGUGCCUUCGGGAACCCGGAGACAGGUGCUGCAUGGCUGUCGU